Molecule: ribosomal RNA, 253 nt
Filed under: uncultured bacterium
Lineage: Bacteria
Description: partial 16S ribosomal RNA
Rfam family: Bacterial small subunit ribosomal RNA
Source: RNAcentral
UACGAGUGCCCCAAGCGUUAUCCGGAAUUAUUGGGCGUAAAGGGUGUGUAGGUGGUUGUGUUAGUCUCAUGUCAAAUUCUUCGGCUUAACCGGGGUACCGCAUGGGAAACGGCACAACUAGAGGAUGCGAGGGGUGAAUGGAACUCAUGGAGUAGGGGUGAAAUCCGUUGAUAUCAUGGGGAACACCGAAAGCGAAGGCAGUUCACUGGCGCACUCCUGACACUGAAACACGAAAGCGUGGGUAGCGAAUGGG